AUUGAACGCUGGCGGCAGGCUUAACACAUGCAAGCCGAGCGGGGGAAGGUAGCUUGCUACCGGACCUAGCGGCGGACGGGUGAGUAAUGCUUAGGAAUCUGCCUAUUAGUGGGGGACAACAUCUCGAAAGGGAUGCUAAUACCGCAUACGUCCUACGGGAGAAAGCAGGGGAUCUUCGGACCUUGCGCUAAUAGAUGAGCCUAAGUCGGAUUAGCUAGUUGGUGGGGUAAAGGCCUACCAAGGCGACGAUCUGUAGCGGGUCUGAGAGGAUGAUCCGCCACACUGGGACUGAGACACGGCCCAGACUCCUACGGGAGGCAGCAGUGGGGAAUAUUGGACAAUGGGGGGAACCCUGAUCCAGCCAUGCCGCGUGUGUGAAGAAGGCCUUAUGGUUGUAAAGCACUUUAAGCGAGGAGGAGGCUACUUUAGUUAAUACCUAGAGAUAGUGGACGUUACUCGCAGAAUAAGCACCGGCUAACUCUGUG
RNAcentral lists this ribosomal RNA (485 nucleotides) under uncultured bacterium. Its description in RNAcentral is "partial 16S ribosomal RNA". It matches the Rfam family "Bacterial small subunit ribosomal RNA", at positions 30 to 507 of the family's 1533-position model. The record is from RNAcentral.